UUUUUUUUCAUCGUUCAUUUGGCUGCCUGAGUUCCACCUGCCAGUGUAGUGCCAACAGCCCAUCAGCCCCCUGUUGAUUUGAUCCUCGUCUGUCUUGAGGCUGAAUUACCCUUGGCUGGUGCUGCAGGAGGUUAGAGGAUUACAGAAUAAAAGAUUGAAGUGUGGAUUCCUAAAGAAGGAAGAGGACUGAAGAAGUUCAGAUGCAGAUUCCACAGGGCUGUCGCAGUUCAUAGCUCAAAGAAAAACCUGAGGCUAUAAAAUCAAACAUGAUUGCUGCCAAAAUUUUGCCUUCCUGCACCUUUGUAAGAACCAGAAUGGAGCAGCCAGCUGUUGUUCCUCUAAGCCAAAGAUGUGGGCAGCCGAAAAAAGUAAGCAAUUUAUGUUAUACUUAAACAAAAACACUUGUCCCUUCAAACAGUGUUACU
RNAcentral lists this long non-coding RNA (425 nucleotides) under Calidris pugnax (ruff). Its description in RNAcentral is "lncRNA (ENSCPUG00000012067.1)". Lineage: Eukaryota; Metazoa; Chordata; Aves; Charadriiformes; Scolopacidae. The record is from RNAcentral.